AAAGAGAUAAAUCCUAGAUUUCUGUGUCCAACAUUUAACCGUCCGUCUUAUUUGAAAAAGUUAUGAAAAAAAUUAAAAAGACAAGUCACGGAUAAAAUAUUAAUCAUAUUUUAUUAUCUAACAACAAUGAAAAUAAUAAUUAUAAAAAAAUUUUAUAUAAAACGGAUCGUCAAACGUUGGACACGAAAACGUAGAGUUUGUCUUUUU
This is a microRNA precursor of Oryza sativa Indica Group (long-grained rice), 207 nucleotides long. It matches the Rfam family "MIR812 microRNA precursor family". The record is from Rfam. Lineage: Eukaryota; Viridiplantae; Streptophyta; Magnoliopsida; Poales; Poaceae.